RNA transcript from Photinus pyralis (common eastern firefly), 1221 nucleotides. RefSeq lists it as uncharacterized. The transcript has 4 exons. The record is from RefSeq and is a predicted model, not a curated record. NCBI's taxonomy places the organism in Eukaryota, Metazoa, Arthropoda, Insecta, Coleoptera, Lampyridae.
GAAUCUGUAAAAUGGAUCAAAGUACUGACAUUUCUGCCUGUGACUCAUUUAAUGUUAAUGAUUUAAAUGAAAUUCCUACAUUAGAGAAUGAACAUACUGUUGCCAGUGCCAGUGCCGGAACUGAUUACAGUGAAGCUGUUUUUACGGAAACUCAAGUUGAUGAUUUGUCUACUAUCAUUAUGCCCAGUAAGAUUAAAAAACGAGGUAGGACUAAAGGGUCAGAACAAACUGUUAUUGGCUUGAAAAAAAGAAGGACCAUUAAGAUUCCAACAAAAUUUACGUUGAAAUCAGAAACCAUGCAAAAAACUCAAAUUCUCAGAGAAAUAGUUUCAAAUGACGAUGCCAUAAAACAAUGCUUAGAAGGAGAAUAUAAAAUUAAAAACAUCGACUUGAAAGAUUUUAAAUGUUUGAGACAUGUCAUUUUCGAUCCAUCAUUUAAUUUGGGUUUAGUUAAGGAUUUGUUUGAACUAGGGGCUUUUGAAAAUUUAAUAGACUUUAUUGAACACAACAAGGAAAAUCAUGAAUGGUGUUGUGCCACUUGCAACAAUGCAAUUGCCCAACUAAAAAGCAUAUGUUGCGAUAGCUGCUUGAUGUGGUACCAUUUUCGAUGUGUAGGAUUAGCAAAGACCCCAAUCAGAAGAACAUGGUUCUGUCGGGAAUGUUACUGAUAUUUAAUAUGCUAAAAAGUAGUAGUAUUAUUUUUUAAAUUUUAUUGUAGCAUUUCAUUAAUUUAAAUGGUAGGUAUGUCAUAAAGCCGCAAGUGUUUAUUUUUGUAUUAUAUUUGUUUUAAGUGUAUAUUACAUAAUUACAAAUGUAAACCUAUCUUUUCAUAUGGAAAUCCUUAUUCCCUUGGGUAAAUUCCUCAUAAAUGUAUAAAUAAUACUAUAGGUAAUUUUAAAGAUAUACUUGGCUUGAGCUGCUUCAGCUAAAACUUUAACUUACAAUUUGUGUAAAUUUUAACAGAAGGGUUGAUCGAGAUCCAACUCGUGAACAUUGUCUUUGUAGCUGUCAUUUCAAAGGUGGUAAUAAAUCCGUGGGUCCAACGAUUUUUCCAUGGAAUAAGGAGGGAACGUGGAAGUUCCAAUGCCCAAAAAACGUGCAAGAAGAAGGUGUCAUUCUAAAGAUGAGUAAGUUCCACAUUCUGCAUUAGAAGCAGAACUGAACAUUGAUGAAGUAUCAGAAGCUGGCCCGUCAACGUUGUUCGUGUACCCAGCUUUAGAC